This 401-nucleotide ribosomal RNA is filed under the name uncultured bacterium. RNAcentral's name for it is "bacterial SSU rRNA". It matches the Rfam family "Bacterial small subunit ribosomal RNA", at positions 984 to 1382 of the family's 1533-position model. The record is from RNAcentral.
ACAUUGUAUCGAAGCAUCCAGAGAUGGAUGUGUCGUCUUCGGAGACGGUAUGACAGGUGCUGCAUGGCUGUCGUCAGCUCGUGCCGUGAGGUGUUCGGGUUAAGUCCCGCAACGAGCCGCAACCCCUAUCUUUAGUUGCCAUCAGUUCGGCUGGGCACUCUAUGGAGACUGCCACCUAAAGUGGAGGAAGGUGGGGAUGACGCCAAGUCAGCAUGGCCCUUACGUCCGGGGCUACACACGUGCUACAAUGGCCGGUACAAAGGGUUGCGAAGCCGUGAGGUGGAGCGAAUCUCAAAAAGCCGGCCUCAGUUCGGAUUGGAGGCUGCAACUCGCCUCCAUGAAGUCGGAAUCGCUAGUAACCGCAGAUCAGCUACGUUGCGGUGAAUACGUUCCCGGGCCUU